This 312-nucleotide ribosomal RNA is filed under the name uncultured bacterium. Its description in RNAcentral is "bacterial SSU rRNA". It matches the Rfam family "Bacterial small subunit ribosomal RNA", at positions 30 to 334 of the family's 1533-position model. The record is from RNAcentral.
AUUGAACGCUGGCGGUAUGCUUAACACAUGCAAGUCGAACGGUAACAGGAACUAGCUUGCUAGUUUGCUGACGAGUGGCGGACGGGUGAGUAAUGCGUAGGAAUCUGCCUUGCAGCGGGGGAUAGCCCGAGGAAACUCGGAUUAAUACCGCAUACGCUCUACGGAGGAAAGUGGGCCUCUUCUUGAAAGCUCACACUGCAAGAUGAGCCUACGUCCGAUUAGCUAGUUGGUGGGGUAAUGGCCUACCAAGGCGACGAUCGGUAGCUGGUCUGAGAGGAUGAUCAGCCACACUGGGACUGAGACACGGCCCAG